Non-coding RNA from Cinara cedri, 338 nucleotides. NCBI's taxonomy places the organism in Eukaryota, Metazoa, Arthropoda, Insecta, Hemiptera, Aphididae. The record is from the annotation of a GenBank genome assembly.
GCAAUAAUCAGGUGAAGUUAGGAACGCUUUUCUUAUGUUCCAAAUAUUUUUGAUGUUUCAAUUCCGUAAGUAUCAGGACGCGUAUCUGUUUAACCCCGCGAUAUCCGAUAUUCCGAUAUCCUCAGUAUCGACCGAUGUGCAAUAUCGGCUCGAGCCGAUAUUGCAAUAUUCAUCACUUAUAAUAUUAUAGGUAUGCUGACGAUUAUUUGGUUCUCAUGGAUAAAUCACAUAAUCGUUUAAGAAUAAUAGUCGGCUGGGGCGAGGAACGUUGGGUUACCAUAAUAAAUGAACGCAAAACAGAGUAUUUAUACAUGGUCGUGAAAAAAUGAGGUAGUGCG